This 257-nucleotide ribosomal RNA is filed under the name uncultured bacterium. RNAcentral's name for it is "partial 16S ribosomal RNA". It matches the Rfam family "Bacterial small subunit ribosomal RNA", at positions 96 to 354 of the family's 1533-position model. The record is from RNAcentral.
UGGCGGACGGGUGAGUAACGCGUGGGCAACCUGGCCUGUACAGGGGGAUAACACUUAGAAAUAGGUGCUAAUACCGCAUAACGGGGGAAGCCGCAUGGCUUUUCCCUGAAAACUCCGGUGGUACAGGAUGGGCCCGCGUCUGAUUAGCCAGUUGGCAGGGUAACGGCCUACCAAAGCGACGAUCAGUAGCCGGCCUGAGAGGGCGGACGGCCACACUGGGACUGAGACACGGCCCAGACUCCUACGGGAGGCAGCAG